Ribosomal RNA from Capsicum annuum, 3381 nucleotides. The record is from RefSeq and is a predicted model, not a curated record. Lineage: Eukaryota; Viridiplantae; Streptophyta; Magnoliopsida; Solanales; Solanaceae.
CGACCCCAAGUCAGGAAGGAUUACCCGUUGAGUUUAAGCAUAUCAAUAAGCGGAGAAAAAGAAACUUAUAAGGAUUUUCUUAGUAACGGUAAGUAAACUGAGAAAAGCACAACCUUAGAAUCGGGUGGCUCCAUCAUCCAAAUUAUAGUCUGGGGAAACAUCCUUAGCGGCAGACCGGGCCAAAGUCCCCUGGAAGGGGGCACCAGAGAGGGUGAGAGGCCCGUUGUGCUCGGAUCCUAUUGCACUACAAGGCACUAUCUAUGAGUUAGGUUGUUUGGGAAUACAACCCAAAUUGGGUGGUGAAUUUUGUCCAUGGUUAAAUAUAAGUGAGAGAUUGAUAGCGAAUAAGUACUGCAAGGGGAAGAUGAAAAGAACUUUGAAAAGAGAGUCAAAGAGUGCUUGAAAUUAUUGAGAGUGAAGCGGAUUAGGGCCGAUGAUGUGCCUCAAUUGGAUUUGGAACGAUAACGAGUUGAUCUGCCGAUUGACUCAGGGCGUGGACCAGCGUGGAUUGGGGGCAUCUAAAGCUCGGGUUCUCGAUAUGCUCAUGAAAUAUCGUCUCCUCGAUUGUAGAAGGCAGCGCGUGCCUCUAGCGUGCUUCGGCAUCUGCACGCUCUGGACGCUUGCUUGUGGGCUCCCCGUUUAACCCGUCUUACGAACCAAGGAGUCUAACAUAUGUGCGAGUCAACAGACGAGUAAACCCGUAAGGUGUAAGGAAGCUAAUUGGUGGGAUCCCCCUAAAAGGUGUACUGCUGACCGACCUUGAUCUUCUGAGAAGGAUUCAAGUGUGAGCAUACCUGUCGGGAUCCAAAAGAUGGUAAACAAUGCAUGAGCGGGACAAAGCCAGAGAAAAACCUGGUGGAGGCCCAUAGCGAUACUGACGUGCAAAUCGUUCGUCUGACUUGGGUAUAGGGGAGAAAGACCAAUCUAACCGUCUAUUAGCUGGUUCCCUCUGAAGUUUCCCUCGGGAUAGGUGGAGCUUUCGUGCUAGUUCUAUUAGGUAAAGCCAAUAAUUAGAGGCCUCGGGGGCACAACACCCUCGACUUAUUCUCAAACUUUAAAUAGGUAGGACGAUGCGACCGCUUUGUUCAGCAACGCCACAGAAUCAAGAGCUCCAAGUGGGCCAUUUUUUAUAAGAAAAACUGGUGAUGCGGGAUGAAUUGAAAGCCGGGUUACUAUGCCAAAUUGCAUGCUAACCUAGAUCCCACAAAGGGUAUUGGUCGAUUAAGACAGCAGAACAGUGGUCAUAUAGCUCAAAAUCCACUAAGGAGUGUGUAACAACUCACCUACCGAAUCAACUAGCCCCCAAAAUAGAUAGCGCUUAAGCGUACGACAUACAAUCGGUCAUUGAAGAAAGUGCCAGGCUCUAAUGAGUAUGAGGGCACGAUGGUCUCUGCAAAAUCUUGGGUGCGAGCCUGGGCGGAGUGACCGUCGGUGCAAAUCUUAGUGGUAAUAGAAAAUAUUCAAAAGAGAACUUUGAAGGCCGAAGAGAGAAAGGGUUCCUUGUGAACGGCACUUGCAUAUGGGUUUGUCGAUCCUAAGGGUCGGGGGAACCCCGACAGAUAGCGCGUUUUGCGCAUACUCCGAAAUAGAAUUGAGUUAAAAUUCCUGAAUCGGGAUGUGGCAGUUGAUGAUAACGUUAUGAAGUCCAGAGAUGUUGGUGGAAGCCUCGGGAAGAGUUAUCUUUAUAGCUUAACAGCCUGCUUACCCUGGAAUCAGCUCAGCUGGAGGUAGGGUCUAGCGGAUGGAAGAGCACUGCACGUCGUGUGGUGUCUGGUGCACUUUCGGUGGCCCUUAAAAAUUCGGAGGAGCGAAUACCAUCAGCGCCCAGUCGUACUCAUAACCGUAUCAGGUCUCCAAGGUGAACAACCUUUGGUCGAUGGAACAAUGUAGUCAAGAGAAGUUGGCAAAAUAAAUUCGUAACUUUGGGAAAAGGAUUGGCUAUGAGGGCUGGGUAUGAGAGUCCCAGUCCCGAACUCAUCAGCUGUCGAUGGACUGCUCGAGUUGCUCCCACAAUGAGAGUGGGUCACUGAAUGUUGGUUGGGGGACGGACUCAGAACGGUUCCUUCGGAGGCCAUCCCCGCGCGUUGAACAACCAACUCAGAAUAGGUACGGACAAGAAGAAUCUGACUAUUUAAUUAAAACAAAGCAUUGCGAUGGUCCCAAUGGAUGUUCAUGCAAUGAGAUUUCUGCCCAGUGCUCUGAAUGUCAAAAUGAAGAAAUUCAACCAAGCGCGGGUAAACGACGCGAGUAAUUAUAACUCUCUUAAGGUAGCCAAAUGACUCGUCAUCUAAUUAGUGAUACACAUGAAUAGAUUAACGAGAUUCCUACUAUCCCUGUCUACUAUCCAGUAAAACCACAACAAAAAGAAUAGGCUAGGCAGAAUCAGUGGGCAAAGAAGACCCUGUUGAACUUUACUCUAGUCCAACUUUGUGAUAUGACUUGAGAGGUGUAGUAUAAGUGGGAGUAAAAAGGCAAAAGUAAAAUACCACUACUUUUAACGUUAUUUUGCUUACUCCGUGAAUCGAAAGCGGGCCCCUACCCCUCUUUUUGGACCCAAGGCACGCUCUGUAGGCUGAUCUGGGUGGAAGACAUUGUUAGGCGGGGAUUUUGGCUGGGGUGGCAUAUCUGUUAAAAGAUAACGUAGGUGUCCUAAUAUGAGCUCAACGAAAAUAGAAAUCUCGUAUGGAAAAGAAGGAUAAAAACUCAUUUGAUUCUGAUUUCUAGUACGAAUACGAACCAUGAAAAUAUGGCCUAACGAUCUUUUAGACCUUUGAAAUUCUAAGAUAGAGGUGUCAAAAAAGUCACCACAGGGAUAACUAGGUUGUGGUAGCCAAACAUUUAUAGUGAUGUUGCUUUUUAAUCCUUCGAUGUUGGCUCUUCCUAUUAUUGUGAAGUAGAAUUCACCAAGUGUUGGAUUGUUCUCCCACCAAUAGGGAACGUGAGCUGGGUUUAGACCGUUGUGAGACAGGUUAGUUUUACCCUACUGAUGACAGUGUCGUAAUAGUUAUUCAACCUAGUACGAGAAGAACCAUUGAUUCUCACAAUUGGUCAUCGCGCUUGGUUGAAAAGCCAAUGGCGCGAAGCUACAGUGUACUGGAUUAUGACUGAAUGCCUCUAAUUUAGAAUCUGGGCUAGAGGCGACGCAUGCACUCGCCGUCCGCUUGCCAACCCGUAAUAGGGCCUCGCCCUUCAAGGGCACGUGUCGUUGGCUAAGCCAUCGCGAUAAAAAGGUCGUGAUGGCCACCUUGAAGUACAAUUUUCAUUGAGAGGUGAGUAAAAUCCUUUGCUGGCGACUUAAAUACGUGACGGGGUAUUGUAAGUGGCAGAGUGACCUUGCUGCCACGAUCCACUGAGAUUCAGCCCUUUGUCGCUCUGGUUCCU